AUGUGCCUCUGGGCACCAAACAAAGAGAUUCAGCGGGCUUUUCUUUGGGCGGGGACAGAUCAGAUCUCGGGUGGCAAAUGCAAAGUUAACUGGGAGGUGGUUUGCCAAUCCACAAACUUGGGUGGCCUGGGUAUCCUCGACCUCGACAAAUUCUCUCAAGCGCUUAGACUGCGUUCGAUAUGGUUUGCUUGGGUGGACCCUCAAAGGGCAUGGGUUGGCCUCGAAACCCCAUGCAACGAUAAGGACAAGGACCUUUUCUAUGCGGCCACCAGAAUCACCGUCAGGGAUGGAAUGAAGGCGAGUUUUUGGCACUCCCCUUGGUUAGAUGGUCACAGGCCUAAAGACAUUACCCCAGGCAUCUUCGCCCUUUCCAAGCGCUCCAACAGUUGUGUCGCUACAGCGAUGGCCAAUAAUGGUUGGGAGAUAAACCUUGUUCCAGGCAUUAGCGAUAGCAUCCACGGGAAGUUCACGGCGGACGGUUUCUACUCCGCGGCCACUACAUACAGGAUGCCGUUCGCCGGUUUGAUCAAGUCUGCAUUGCCACAAAUGGCUUGA
RNAcentral lists this ribosomal RNA (555 nucleotides) under Triticum aestivum (bread wheat). RNAcentral's name for it is "partial small subunit ribosomal RNA". The record is from RNAcentral. Lineage: Eukaryota; Viridiplantae; Streptophyta; Magnoliopsida; Poales; Poaceae.